GAUUUCUGGUAGAUUAUUCCGACCCGCAUCCUUUGGGUGUGAGUGUCGGCGUGAUUCUGCCAUCCUUCUAGUGUGCCGUGCCUACUCUUCACUGAGCCGGGCACGCGCGCUCUAGAUCGUUUACUUUGAAAAAAUUAGAGUGUUUCAAGCAGGCUUACGCUGUGAAUACAUUAGCAUGGAAUAAUAAUCUAGGACUUCGGUUCUAUUUUGUUGGUUUCUAUAACUGAAGUAAUGAUUGAUAGGGAUAGUUGGGGGUGCUAGUAUUGGCCGGCCAGAGGUGAAAUUCUUGGAUUCGGUCAAGACUAACUUAUGCGAAAGCAUU
Molecule: ribosomal RNA, 322 nt
Filed under: uncultured Protaspa
Lineage: Eukaryota; Cercozoa; Thecofilosea; Cryomonadida
Description: SSU rRNA
Rfam family: Eukaryotic small subunit ribosomal RNA (bases 111-322)
Source: RNAcentral